This 607-nucleotide ribosomal RNA is filed under the name uncultured fungus. RNAcentral describes it as "eukaryotic LSU rRNA". The stretch from base 234 to 387 matches the Rfam family "5.8S ribosomal RNA". Lineage: Eukaryota; Fungi. The record is from RNAcentral.
CUUGGUCAUUUAGAGGAAGUAAAAGUCGUAACAAGGUCUCCGUAGGUGAACCUGCGGAGGGAUCAUUACACAAAUAUGAAGGCGGGCUGGAACCUCUCGGGGUUACAGCCUUGCUGAAUUAUUCACCCUUGUCUUUUGCGUACUUCUUGUUUCCUUGGUGGGUUCGCCCACCACUAGGACAAACAUAAACCUUUUGUAAUUGCAAUCAGCGUCAGUAACAAAUUAAUAAUUACAACUUUCAACAACGGAUCUCUUGGUUCUGGCAUCGAUGAAGAACGCAGCGAAAUGCGAUAAGUAGUGUGAAUUGCAGAAUUCAGUGAAUCAUCGAAUCUUUGAACGCACAUUGCGCCCUUUGGUAUUCCAAAGGGCAUGCCUGUUCGAGCGUCAUUUGUACCCUCAAGCUUUGCUUGGUGUUGGGCGUCUUGUCUCUAGCUUUGCUGGAGACUCGCCUUAAAGUAAUUGGCAGCCGGCCUACUGGUUUCGGAGCGCAGCACAAGUCGCACUCUCUAUCAGCAAAGGUCUAGCAUCCAUUAAGCCUUUUUUUCAACUUUUGACCUCGGAUCAGGUAGGGAUACCCGCUGAACUUAAGCAUAUCAAUAAGCGGAGG